AUGUACACAGAAAAUAAGUGUGCAAUAAAAAUCAAAAACCAAAGAACAGAAUUUUUUUCACAAUGUCGAGGUGUGAGACAAGGCUGCAAUUUGAGUCCAAAUCUUUUCAACAUUUAUAUCAAUGAAUUAGCAGACAUGUUGGACCAAUCUCCAGCCCCAGGACUCACACUAUUUGACACAGAGGUGAAAUACCUGCUAUAUGCUGAUGACUUGGUACUUCUAUCACCAACCAAAGAAGGUCUUCAACAAAACAUUAAUAUUCUGGAGCAAUAUUGCCAUAAUUGGGCCCUGGCAGUAAAUUUCCAAAAAACUAAAAUCAUGAUUUUCCAAAAAAAACCCAGAUGUCAGAAACACAAAUGUAAAUUCACCCUGAACAACACCUUAAUUGAACACACAAAACAUUACACCUACCUUGGUCUGACCAUAUCUGCAUCGGGAAACUUUAAUAUGGCAGUGAAGGCACUCAAAGAAAAAGCCCGCAGAGCAAUGUAUGCAAUAAAAAUGAAAUUAUUCAAAAUCAACAUCCCAAUUAGAAUUUGGACUAAAAUAUUUGACAGUGUAAUCCUACCAAUAGCACUUUAUGGAAGUGAGGUUUGGGGGCCACUCAAUAAACUGGAUUUUAAAAUGUGGGACAAACAUCCAAUUGAAGCCCUACAUGCAGAAUUCUGUCGGAAAAUUCUACAAGUCCAGAGAAAUACACCAACUAAUGCAUGUAGGGCAGAAUUGGGCCGUUUUCCAGUAAUAAUGAAAAUACAGAAAAGAUCAUUAAAAUUUUGGCUACAUCUAAAUUCAAGUCCAAAUUCGAGUCUGCAAUUUAAAGCACUUCAAGCCCAAGAGCUGAGCCCAGAAACGAGCCCUCUCAGUCAGAUGGUGUUGGACCUCACCAACCAAGCUGACGCCAGCACUGCUUCAAAAGAAAGAAUUCCAAUAAGCAAAAUCAUGAACCAAUCAAAGGAAUCAUAUUUACAAUACUGGAAAAACGAAACAAAAUCCCAAAGCCGACUAAAUUGCUAUCUGACCCUAAACAGAGAAUAUGAAUUGGCUGAUUAUCUCUACUCUGUCAGAGAUACGAAGCAGAGACAGAUCCUUACCAAGUACAGGCUAAGUGACCACCGAUUGGCAAUAGAAACCGGCAGACAUAAAAAGACAUGGCUACCCAAAGAGGAGCGUGUAUGUGGUCACUGCAUGACAGGGGAGGUAGAGACAGAGAUGCACUUUCUCCUUUACUGUGAUAAAUAUUCCUCACAAAGAGAUUCAUUAUUCACAGAAAUGACUACAUAUAUUCCAAAUUUUUACAAAUUGAACCCAGAGGAAAAACUAAGAAUACUCAUGGGCGAAGGAGCAAUGGCUCCUCUUGCAGCCAAAUAUGUAUUUUCCUGCCAUAGCCUGAGGGACACUGAAUAA
RNAcentral lists this long non-coding RNA (1404 nucleotides) under Oncorhynchus mykiss (rainbow trout). Its description in RNAcentral is "lncRNA (ENSOMYG00000051719.1)". Lineage: Eukaryota; Metazoa; Chordata; Actinopteri; Salmoniformes; Salmonidae. The record is from RNAcentral.